Cynoglossus semilaevis (tongue sole) is the source of this 989-nucleotide long non-coding RNA. RefSeq lists it as uncharacterized. Lineage: Eukaryota; Metazoa; Chordata; Actinopteri; Pleuronectiformes; Cynoglossidae. The record is from RefSeq and is a predicted model, not a curated record. The transcript has 2 exons.
AAACGCUGAAGUGUGACGGAGGGAAGUAGCGCCGAAGAAACGAGCUUUUAUUAUGUAACUAGCUGUGGGUUGAACCAUGGCAGAAACAGCCAAUCCGGGACGAAGGUGGUGGAAGAGGUAACUUCUGAUUGGCCAGAAUAGGACAGAAAUUAGUGUCUCCUCAAUGAAGACUCUUGUAACGCUUCCCCUCUCAGUCCCUCUAUCUCCACUUCCAACUCCGUGCCUGUCCAAACUCAUCAGUCCCUCGAACUGCACAUCCAGUUUUGAUCUUCUAGUCCUUUUCCGCGCUGCGUACCACCCUCAGGUACUUCCUGACCACGCCCCUACCAAAAUUCUUACCUCCAAAGAGUAAGUCACGUGGACCACCUGGAUAUAAUUAGAACAAAUCAAAGCAUUUGAUAAAAAAAUAGUUUAUUAAAACAAUAUCCUAUGGUUGAAAUAUUGAAGACUUUAUAUCCAUGUCUUUUGCAUUUUUUAACAAAUCAUAGAAACAUCUGUCAACUUUCAAGCCAUCAGGAGUUAAAAAUGUUAAAGCAAAGGGCCUCUUGUUAUUCCUUCGAAGUCAAUUUGUUGUUUUUUUUAACUCUUCAGCACAACAGAUCACAAAUUAUAAACAACAUUCACCGUGACACGUACAUGGUGUCAGUGUAACACAAGCAUAUUUACAGCAGUGUCUGUCCAGAAAAACCUCUUCUCAUUUUCUCUCUGUGGUUUGGCCCAUCAUCAAUGAGGAGAAGAUUAUCAGUCAGACUGGUAUGGACACAGUAUGGACAUGAGAUGUUAAAAACUAUAAACCAAAAUCAGACACAGUUUGUCCUCAGGGACACAGACACUGACUGUGAAGGUUGUGUUUAUCAAGAAAACAAAAACAAAAAGAGCUGCAGCUUUUUAAUUUCUGAAUUUCUAUUAUGCUUAAAAUCUACCUGCUUCACGGAAAUACACUCAAGAUUACUGCAACUAACGAAAGUGUGUGCACGUGUGUGUGUGUG